This 202-nucleotide ribosomal RNA is filed under the name Pachycondyla harpax. Its description in RNAcentral is "partial large subunit ribosomal RNA". Lineage: Eukaryota; Metazoa; Arthropoda; Insecta; Hymenoptera; Formicidae. The record is from RNAcentral.
GAAUUUUAUAUGAAUUAUUAUAAAAUAAAAUUAGUAAUUUAUAUUUUAUUGGGAGGAUAAUUAAAUUUAAGUAACUUUAAUGUAGAAAAACUUUGAUUAAUGAAAAGAAAAAGAUGAUUAAUAUAAAAUUAUUAGAGAUUAAAUUACCUUAGGGAUAACAGCAUUAUAUUUUUUUUUAGAUCAUAUAUAAAAAAAUGUUUAU